AUGGCGCCACCAAGCCCAGCCCCCGCCGCGGCGCUCUUCCUCGCCGCGCUCCUCGUCCUCUCCGCCUCCCCGGCGUCCGCGGCGAGGCCGCGCUCCUCCUCCAAGGUGGCAGCCGGGCCGCACGACAUCCCGGCCGUGUUCGCAUUCGGCGACUCCACGCUGGACCCGGGCAACAACAACCGGCUGUUCACGGUGGUGCGCGCCGACCACGCGCCCUACGGCCGCGCCUUCCCGGCCGGCGUGCCCCCCUCGGGCCGCUUCUCGGACGGCAAGCUCAUCACCGACUACAUCGUCGCCGCGCUCGGCAUCAAGGACCUGCUCCCGGCGUACCACGCCAGCGGGGUCACCCACGCCGACGCCACCACCGGGGCCAGCUUCGCGUCCGGCGGGUCCGGCCUCGACGACAUCACCGCGCACGCCGUCAUGGUCUCCACCUUCUCGUCCCAGAUCGCCGACUUCCAGCAGCUCCUCUCCCGCAUCGGCGAGCCCCAGGCCGCCGACAUCGCCGCCAAGUCCCUCUUCAUCCUCUCCGCCGGCACCAACGACGUGACAAUGAACUACUACGACCUGCCGUUCCGCGCCCUCCAGUACCCCACCAUCGACGCCUACCAUGACUACCUCAUCAGCUGCUACCAGUCCUACAUCCAGAGCCUGUACAAGCUGGGGGCGAGGAGGUUCAUCGUGGCGGGGAUGCCGCCGGUGGGGUGCCUGCCGAUGCAGAAGAGCCUGAGGGGGCAGCAGCCGCCGCUGGGGCACGGGUGCGUGGACCUGCAGAACGAGGAGGUGCAGCGGUACAACGCCAAGCUGCAGCAGGCGCUGGCGGCGCUGGAGGCGGCGAGCGCCGGCGCCAGCAUCUCGUACGUGGACACGUACGCGCCGCUCAUGGACAUGGUGGCGCAGCCCAACAAGUACGGGUUCACGCAGACGGGGCAGGGGUGCUGCGGCACGGGGCUGCUGGAGAUGGGGGCCAUGUGCACCGGCCUGCUGCCGCAGUGCAAGUCGCCGGCGCAGUACAUGUUCUUCGACGCCGUGCACCCCACGCAGGCCGCCUACAAGGCCGUUGCCGACCAGAUCAUCAAGACCCACAUCGCGCAGUUCAAAAACUAG
Molecule: ribosomal RNA, 1107 nt
Filed under: Triticum aestivum (bread wheat)
Lineage: Eukaryota; Viridiplantae; Streptophyta; Magnoliopsida; Poales; Poaceae
Description: partial small subunit ribosomal RNA
Source: RNAcentral